This 27-nucleotide non-coding RNA is filed under the name Mus musculus (house mouse). Lineage: Eukaryota; Metazoa; Chordata; Mammalia; Rodentia; Muridae. The record is from RNAcentral.
UAAACACCACAAGAGAUUCUUCAGUUG